GUACCAGCUCCAGCUUUAGCGCCAGCAUCUCAGGCUCCACAGUCUGAUCCUUCCAGUGUACCAAUGUAUGAGUAAGCAACAACUCUAGCCUCUCUAGCAGAUCCUGGAUCUGAGACAAACUCUGAUACUAUUCCGGACUUUACACUGAUUGCUCACCUCGCCAUGAUGCGUCUGCCCCUCGUCCUUCUUCUUCUGGUCUCUAGGUUAGGGCGACCCUUUUGGUGCUUGAUGUCAAGGGGGAGAGAUGAGAGUUGUGAGAGCUAG
RNAcentral lists this long non-coding RNA (264 nucleotides) under Zea mays. RNAcentral describes it as "long non-coding RNA NONZMAT001603". The record is from RNAcentral. Lineage: Eukaryota; Viridiplantae; Streptophyta; Magnoliopsida; Poales; Poaceae.